GUGAGUCAUCGAAUCUUUGAACGCACCUUGCGCUCCUUGGUAUUCCGAGGAGCAUGCCUGUUUGAGUGUCAGUCAAUUCUCAACCCCUCCAGCCUUGGUUGGUUGGGGCUUGGAUGUGGAGGUCUUGCCGGCCACUUGUAGGUCAGCUCCUCUAAAAUGCAUUAGCGGAACUCGUUUGCGAUCCGUCACAGGUGUGAUAAUUAUCUACGCCAGUGGGUUGCUCACGGUGUUGUUCAGCUUCCAACUGUCCCACCAAGGGACUGACUUGAACGUUUGACCUCAAAUCAGGUAGGACUACCCGCUGAACUUAAGCAUAUCAAUAAGCGGAGGA
This 331-nucleotide unclassified non-coding RNA is filed under the name Leucoagaricus sp. Its description in RNAcentral is "partial contains 5.8S ribosomal RNA, internal transcribed spacer 2, and large subunit ribosomal RNA". The stretch from base 1 to 71 matches the Rfam family "5.8S ribosomal RNA", at positions 84 to 154 of the family's 154-position model. Lineage: Eukaryota; Fungi; Basidiomycota; Agaricomycetes; Agaricales; Agaricaceae. The record is from RNAcentral.